RNAcentral lists this ribosomal RNA (245 nucleotides) under uncultured bacterium. RNAcentral describes it as "partial 16S ribosomal RNA". It matches the Rfam family "Bacterial small subunit ribosomal RNA", at positions 88 to 334 of the family's 1533-position model. The record is from RNAcentral.
CGGUCGACCGGCGCACGGUGAGUAACGCGUAUCCAACCUGCCCACCACUUGGGGAGUAACCUUGCGAAAGUAAGACUAAUACCCAAUGAUAUCUCUAGAAGACAUCUGAAAGAGAUUAAAGAUUUAUCGGUGAUGGGUGGGGAUGCGUCUGAUUAGCUUGUUGGCGGGGUAACGGCCCACCAAGGCGACGAUCAGUAGGGGUUCUGAGAGGAAGGUCCCCACAUUGGAACUGAGACACGGUCCAA